This is a long non-coding RNA of Pseudophryne corroboree (corroboree frog), 248 nucleotides long. RefSeq lists it as uncharacterized. The transcript has 3 exons. Lineage: Eukaryota; Metazoa; Chordata; Amphibia; Anura; Myobatrachidae. The record is from RefSeq and is a predicted model, not a curated record.
UUCGGAAAAAUGGCAUCAAAUAUGGAUUUUAUCCAGGUCUGUGCCCAAAGCAUGGCUCGCUUUUACACCAGCGUUGUCCUGGCAUUUGACGAAGUUGAAGACAGCAUCAGGAGAGUCCAAGACCAGGACUCUACCCCUCUCAUGGGAAAGUGACCCCCCCCCCACCCCGAAGAAAAAUAACCCCCAGCAAAAAAUAAAAAAUAAAAAUAACAACAAAAAAUACAGCAUCAAAUAAAUAAAUAAAAUCA